RNAcentral lists this long non-coding RNA (329 nucleotides) under Setaria viridis. Its description in RNAcentral is "long non-coding RNA (SVIR_LNC007075)". Lineage: Eukaryota; Viridiplantae; Streptophyta; Magnoliopsida; Poales; Poaceae. The record is from RNAcentral.
GACUUGCAGCCAAGAAGGGGAGAAUGAUGAGGACAUCACAUGCUUGGAUACAACCAUAUUGGCAUCUUUUGACUCCGAGGUGAAACAAUUCUUUAUCAUAAUUAUAUGUGACACAUUUGAUGAAUUGAUGCUGCACCAUGAUGUGUAUUCGUUGUCAAUUUCAGAAAUACGUACAUGGAUCAAAAAUAGUGUUAAACACACAUGGAAGGCAUGGAGGACCAAAGAAGUAGAUUGGGGGCCAAGUCCAAGUAUUCCCAACGUCCUCCACCAGACCACCACGUCACUUUUGGCCCAAGGAAAGAAAGAGAUCCAAUCCAACACGUUUUGGC